This 238-nucleotide ribosomal RNA is filed under the name uncultured bacterium. RNAcentral describes it as "partial 16S ribosomal RNA". It matches the Rfam family "Bacterial small subunit ribosomal RNA", at positions 96 to 334 of the family's 1533-position model. The record is from RNAcentral.
UGGCGGACGGGUGAGUAACGCGUGGGUAACCUGCCUCACACUGGGGACGAACAGUUAGAAAUGACUGCUAAUACCGCAUAAGCGCACAGGACCGCAUGGUCCGGUGUGAAAAACUCCGGUGGUGUGAGAUGGACCCGCGUUUGAUUAGCUAGUUGGUGGGGUAACGGCCUACCAAGGCGACGAUCAAUAGCCGACCUGAGAGGGUGACCGGCCACAUUGGGACUGAGACACGGCCCAA